This 472-nucleotide ribosomal RNA is filed under the name uncultured bacterium. RNAcentral describes it as "SSU rRNA". It matches the Rfam family "Bacterial small subunit ribosomal RNA", at positions 26 to 518 of the family's 1533-position model. The record is from RNAcentral.
AGGACGAACGCUGGCGGCGUGCUUAACACAUGCAAGUCGAGCGGAAAGGCCCUUCGGGGUACUCGAGCGGCGAACGGGUGAGUAACACGUGAGUAAUCUGCCCCUAGCUCUGGGAUAGCUCCGGGAAACCGGGAUUAAUACCGGAUACGACCACCUUAGACAUCUUUUGUGGUGGAAAGAAUUUCGGCUAGGGAUGAGCUCGCGGCCUAUCAGCUUGUUGGUGGGGUAACGCCUACCAAGGCGACGACGGGUAGCCGGCCUGAGAGGGCGACCGGCCACACUGGGACUGAGACACGGCCCAGACUCCUACGGGAGGCAGCAGUGGGGAAUAUUGCGCAAUGGGCGAAAGCCUGACGCAGCGACGCCGCGUGGGGAUGAAGGCCUUCGGGUUGUAAACCCCUUUCAGCAGGGACGAAGCGAAAGUGACGGUACCUGCAGAAGAAGCGCCGGCUAACUACGUGCCAGCAGCCGC